This 25-nucleotide non-coding RNA is filed under the name Cricetulus griseus (Chinese hamster). Lineage: Eukaryota; Metazoa; Chordata; Mammalia; Rodentia; Cricetidae. The record is from RNAcentral.
CAACACAUCUGUGGCUGAGUGGAGC